CACCGGCAUGCACAAAUGCAUCCAAGGAGGCAGCCACAAGGUCUUGUUUGAACUGGUGGGGAUGGGAACUGCAUGUGUCAGGCAGAACAUCUCAGGCCAGACCGUAAACCUUUGCGGGUGUGAGACGAGUGGGUGAGGGGUGGGGAAGGAAAAGUGCUGUGUGCACUAGGGGACAGUUUUAUCACUGAGUAUAAAUUGGCCCUAAGUACUUUGCAGCUGCAGUGAAAAAAUUGGUCUCUGCCCAUCCAAGGGGACUGGAAAUGAACCUUCAGGUAUAAUAGGGGCUGACACUUUGACAGUUACUUGAAUACGGAGCAGCAUACAUUUGCUUAAAUGUUCUGUAACAACUUCUCGUGAAAUAAAUGGGGCUGGAUUAAAUGGUCAACAAGCCUCUUUUGCAUUGGCUUUCUUUAUAGUAAGACAGCAGAGAUUUGACAUCAACCUACUGAUUGAGUCUGGCAACAAUUUAAUCAGGUCUUUGCUUGUAGAAUGGAAUAAUGCCUUUCUCUUCCUAGGACACAAAGGAAAGCCAAGAAAUUAAGCCUCUUGUUUAGGAUUUGAAUGACAUUAAAAUACAAACUUAAGAAAACUCCUUUCUGUGAGAAUUCCUGUAGCACAGUAACUGUAGAUGGGAUUCAACUUGCAUAUAAAGAUAGCUAAAAUUAGAGAUGAGAUUCAGCCAGAUGUUCAGUCACCCAAAAGUGGAGGUAUAGGAAUAUGUAGGAGUCAACUGCAAGUGAGAAGACACUACACGGGCCAUUCUCUUACAACAGCCAUAGCGUUCCUGAAGGUGGAAAAGAAGACAUCAUGUUCAUUAACAGCAUUAAAGAUCUGUUUGGACCCUGUCCUUGUCUACUUGCUUGUCAGGACUCUCAGACGUUGUCUCAGUAACUUUUGAACCUGUUGCUCAAUUUUAAAUGAAUUUAACAGCUGGACAAAAGUUCUGUAAAUACAAAAAUACUGCAAGUUUUGUGAAAAAAUGUUGCUGUGUGAAGAGGAAAAAUUCCAGAAAAGAACCAUCCGCAUGCGAUACGCUGCAGGGUGAAACCCUCAUUGAAGAAGCAGUAAGGAUGGAGCUGCAGGAGACAAAACUCUGUAAGCUCUGCUGUUCAUGGAACUGCUUUUCUUUGCAAUUUUCUUCUGUUUAAAGAAGGAACUGCUUCUCUACCUUUGUCCCAAAUCUAAAUAAAAUUCUUUUAUUCUG
This 1204-nucleotide long non-coding RNA is filed under the name Gallus gallus (chicken). RNAcentral's name for it is "lncRNA (ENSGALG00010027587.1)". Lineage: Eukaryota; Metazoa; Chordata; Aves; Galliformes; Phasianidae. The record is from RNAcentral.